AGCAGCCGCGGUAAUUCCAGCUCCAAUAGCGUAUAUUAAAGUUGUUGCAGUUAAAAAGCUCGUAGUUGAAUUUCGGGGUUCCACCGUUGGUCGGGCUAUUGUCUGUACUGGCGUGUGGAAUUUCUACCUUCUGGGGAACUAUCAUGUUAUUAAUUUAGCGUGGUAGGAAACCAGGACCUUUACCUUGAAAAAUUAGAGUGUUCAAAGCAGGCUUAUGUCUGAAUACAUUAGCAUGGAAUAAUAAAAUAGGACGGUGGUCCUGUUUUGUUGGUUUCUGAAUCACCGUAAUGAUUAAUAGGGAUAGUUGGGGGCAUUAGUAUUCAAUUGUCAGAGGUGAAAUUCUUGGAUUUAUUGAGGACUAACUACUGCGAAAGCAUUUGCCAAGGAUGUUUUCAUUAAUCAAGAACGAAAGUUAGGGGAUCGAAGACGAUCAGAUACCGUCGUAGUCUUAACCAUAAACUAUGCCGACUAGGGAUCGGACGAUGUUAACUUUUCUUGACUCGUUCGGCGCCUUACGGGA
Molecule: unclassified non-coding RNA, 520 nt
Filed under: uncultured Scutellospora
Lineage: Eukaryota; Fungi; Glomeromycota; Glomeromycetes; Diversisporales; Gigasporaceae
Description: SSU rRNA
Rfam family: Eukaryotic small subunit ribosomal RNA
Source: RNAcentral